GCAUACUUUUCAAGUUAUGAAUAAUGUGGAAAAAUUGUAUUUCUCUGCUUGUGCUAAAUUACAGUACCCAUUGUGUAAGGUAAUUGAAUCACAAGCAGAGGGGAGGAAUUUGUGUGUGAGUGUCUGAGUUUAUUGUAUGUGUUUAUUGGUUGUGUUCCAAAACCCUGUGGGUGGUACUAAUGUGUAAGAAUGUGUACAUAAGCACAAUAAACCCACAGCUCUGACUGUUCACUGCUUG
Non-coding RNA from Pelobates cultripes (western spadefoot toad), 238 nucleotides. The record is from the annotation of a GenBank genome assembly. Lineage: Eukaryota; Metazoa; Chordata; Amphibia; Anura; Pelobatidae.